Molecule: ribosomal RNA, 421 nt
Filed under: uncultured bacterium
Lineage: Bacteria
Description: bacterial SSU rRNA
Rfam family: Bacterial small subunit ribosomal RNA
Source: RNAcentral
UGGGAAAUAUUGCACAAUGGGGGAACCCGUAGCAUGCAGCAACGCCGCGUGAAGGAUGAAGGUUUUCGGAUCGUAAACUUCUAUCAACAGGGACGAAAACAAAUGACGGUACCUGAAUAAGAAGCCCCGGCUAACUACGUGCCAGCAGCCGCGGUAAUACGUAGGGGGCAAGCGUUAUCCGGAUUUACUGGGUGUAAAGGGAGCGUAGACGGAGCAGCAAGUCUGAUGUGAAAGGCAGGGGCUCAACCCCUGGACUGCAUUGGAAACUGUUGAUCUUGAGUACCGGAGGGGUAAGCGGAAUUCCUAGUGUAGCGGUGAAAUGCGUAGAUAUUAGGAGGAACACCAGUGGCGAAGGCGGCUUACUGGACGGUAACUGACGUUGAGGCUCGAAAGCGUGGGGAGCAAACAGGAUUAGAUACCC